UUAUCGGAGAGUUUGAUCCUGGCUCAGGACGAACGCUGGCGGCGUGCCUAAUACAUGCAAGUCGAGCGGACAGAUGGGAGCUUGCUCCCUGAUGUUAGCGGCGGACGGGUGAGUAACACGUGGGUAACCUGCCUGUAAGACUGGGAUAACUCCGGGAAACCGGGGCUAAUACCGGAUGGUUGUUUGAACCGCAUGGUUCAAACAUAAAAGGUGGCUUCGGCUACCACUUACAGAUGGACCCGCGGCGCAUUAGCUAGUUGGUGAGGUAAUGGCUCACCAAGGCGACGAUGCGUAGCCGACCUGAGAGGGUGAUCUACCACACUGGGACUGAGACACGUACCAGACUCCUACGGGAGGCAGCAGUAGGGAAUCUUCCGCAAUGGACGAAAGUCUGACGGAGCAACGCCGCGUGAGUGAUGAAGGUUUUCGGAUCGUAAAGCUCUGUUGUUAGGGAAGAACAAGUACCGUUCGAAUAGGGCGGUACCUUGACGGUACCUAACCAGAAAGCCACGGCUAACUACGUGCCAGCAGCCGCGGUAAUACGUAGGUGGCAAGCGUUGUCCGGAAUUAUUGGGCGUAAAGGGCUCGCAGGCGGUUUCUUAAGUCUGAUGUGAAAGCCCCCGGCUCAACCGGGGAGGGUCAUUGGAAACUGGGGAACUUGAGUGCAGAAGAGGAGAGUGGAAUUCCACGUGUAGCGGUGAAAUGCGUAGAGAUGUGGAGGAACACCAGUGGCGAAGGCGACUCUCUGGUCUGUAACUGACGCUGAGGAGCGAAAGCGUGGGGAGCGAACAGGAUUAGAUACCCUGGUAGUCCACGCCGUAAACGAUGAGUGCUAAGUGUUAGGGGGUUUCCGCCCCUUAGUGCUGCAGCUAACGCAUUAAGCACUCCGCCUGGGGAGUACGGUCGCAAGACUGAAACUCAAAGGAAUUGACGGGGGGCCGCACAAGCGGUGGAGCAUGUGGUUUAAUUCGAAGCAACGCGAAGAACCUUACCAGGUCUUGACAUCCUCUGACAAUCCUAGAGAUAGGACGUCCCCUUCGGGGGCAGAGUGACAGGUGGUGCAUGGUUGUCGUCAGCUCGUGUCGUGAGAUGUUGGGUUAAGUCCCGCAACGAGCGCAACCCUUGAUCUUAGUUGCCAGCAUUCAGUUGGGCACUCUAAGGUGACUGCCGGUGACAAACCGGAGGAAGGUGGGGAUGACGUCAAAUCAUCAUGCCCCUUAUGACCUGGGCUACACACGUGCUACAAUGGACAGAACAAAGGGCAGCGAAACCGCGAGGUUAAGCCAAUCCCACAAAUCUGUUCUCAGUUCGGAUCGCAGUCUGCAACUCGACUGCGUGAAGCUGGAAUCGCUAGUAAUCGCGGAUCAGCAUGCCGCGGUGAAUACGUUCCCGAGCCUUGUACACACCGCCCGUCACACCACGAGAGUUUGUAACACCCGAAGUCGGUGAGGUAACCUUUUAGGAGCCAGCCGCCGAAGGUGGGACAGAUGAUUGGGGUGAAGUCGUAACAAGGUAGCCGUAUCGGAAGGUGCGGCUGGAUCACCUCCUUU
RNAcentral lists this ribosomal RNA (1550 nucleotides) under Bacillus subtilis. RNAcentral describes it as "bacterial SSU rRNA". It matches the Rfam family "Bacterial small subunit ribosomal RNA". The record is from RNAcentral. Lineage: Bacteria; Bacillati; Bacillota; Bacilli; Caryophanales; Bacillaceae.